RNAcentral lists this ribosomal RNA (433 nucleotides) under uncultured bacterium. RNAcentral describes it as "partial 16S ribosomal RNA". It matches the Rfam family "Bacterial small subunit ribosomal RNA", at positions 29 to 507 of the family's 1533-position model. The record is from RNAcentral.
AACGAACGCUGGCGGCAUGCCUAACACAUGCAAGUCGAACGAGACCUUCGGGUCUAGUGGCGCACGGGUGCGUAACGCGUGGUAACCUGCCCUUAGGUUCGGAAUAACUCCCCGAAAGGGGUGCUAAUACCGGAUAAUGUCUUCGGACCAAAGAUUUAUCGCCUUUGGAUGGGCCCGCGUUGGAUUAGCUAGUUGGUAGGGUAAAAGCCUACCAAGGCGACGAUCCAUAGCUGGUCUGAGAGGAUGAUCAGCCACACUGGGACUGAGACACGGCCCAGACUCCUACGCGAGGCAGCAGUGGGGAAUAUUGGACAAUGGGCGAAAGCCUGAUCCAGCAAUGCCGCGUGAGUGAUGAAGGCCUUAGGGUUGUAAAGCUCUUUUACCCGGGAUGAUAAUGACAGUACCGGGAGAAUAAGCGCCGGCUAACUCCGUG